Molecule: ribosomal RNA, 497 nt
Filed under: uncultured bacterium
Lineage: Bacteria
Description: partial 16S ribosomal RNA
Rfam family: Bacterial small subunit ribosomal RNA
Source: RNAcentral
GAUGAACGCUGGCGGCGUGGCUAAUACAUGCAAGUCGAGCGAACAGACGAGGAGCUUGCUCCUCUGACGUUAGCGGCGGACGGGUGAGUAACACGUGGAUAACCUACCUAUAAGACUGGGAUAACUUCGGGAAACCGGAGCUAAUACCGGAUAAUAUAUUGAACCGCAUGGUUCAAUAGUGAAAGACGGUUUUGCUGUCACUUAUAGAUGGAUCCGCGCCGCAUUAGCUAGUUGGUAAGGUAACGGCUUACCAAGGCAACGAUGCGUAGCCGACCUGAGAGGGUGAUCGGCCACACUGGAACUGAGACACGGUCCAGACUCCUACGGGAGGCAGCAGUAGGGAAUCUUCCGCAAUGGGCGAAAGCCUGACGGAGCAACGCCGCGUGAGUGAUGAAGGUCUUCGGAUCGUAAAACUCUGUUAUUAGGGAAGAACAAAUGUGUAAGUAACUAUGCACGUCUUGACGGUACCUAAUCAGAAAGCCACGGCUAACUGCGUG